CUGCUCCCCACCCUCGACAAGGACCUUCUUGUUGGCCUCAGCCAGGCUGCACUGUCCCGUGCCAGGGCCUCAUGGGGGGGUGGGGCGUGGCUGGGUGCGUGGGAGGGCCCUCAG
This is a long non-coding RNA of Perognathus longimembris pacificus (Pacific pocket mouse), 114 nucleotides long. RefSeq lists it as uncharacterized. The transcript has 3 exons. The record is from RefSeq and is a predicted model, not a curated record. Lineage: Eukaryota; Metazoa; Chordata; Mammalia; Rodentia; Heteromyidae.